UCUGUGUGUUUUUAGGAUAGUUAUAUGGUAUAGUAUUGUUCCUAAUUUUAGGGCAGCCAUCUAAUGAUGUGAUAUUUUGAGUAUUAGAAGAUCUAGUAAAUUUGUUAACCAAAUAAGUUUAGCACUUCAUAUCGAGAUGGAUACAUUUCUAUAUAAACAACUGGCUGACAAUCUAUAUGUAUAUGUGUUUUAUUAAGUGCGAAAGAUAAGUUUUCUGAUGUGGAGCAACAACUUAAGAAAGCUGAGAUUGGUGAGAGUCGUAGGACAUAGGAUUCAGAAUGAGAAAGCAGCCCGGGAAUCAGAGAUAACGAUUUUGAAAUGCCUUCCCCAAAUAAUCAAUUUCGACUCGGGCUUAUUCCUUCUGGUUCUACUUAGAUAUUGUAAUGUCGUAAUUUCUUGCAUUAUUCUUUUCCACAUAUCUUUUAUAUUCACUUUGAUUUUUAUAUGAAUACCCUUUCACUUUGAUUUUCCACGGUACAAGUGGGGUCUGGAAUCCUAUGACAUUUGCAGAUUAUUUUGGGUAAAAGCUUAUGCCUUGAUAUAGCUCAAGUCGUCAGAUGGUAAAAAUCACACAUAUCAAAGAACAAGUCUCAUGUACGAUAUUCAUCUUCGUUUGCUGGGUAGACUGUUAUUUUACUUUUUGAUUGAUUGUUUAGUUGUAUAUCUUAGUAUUCAUUAGUACCAAUGUCAAAAUUAUAUUCUGGCCUCAUCCGUGUUCAAAGCUAUUGAUUUCCUGAGUUAA
This is a long non-coding RNA of Erigeron canadensis, 742 nucleotides long. RefSeq lists it as uncharacterized. The transcript has 3 exons. Lineage: Eukaryota; Viridiplantae; Streptophyta; Magnoliopsida; Asterales; Asteraceae. The record is from RefSeq and is a predicted model, not a curated record.